This 497-nucleotide ribosomal RNA is filed under the name uncultured bacterium. RNAcentral's name for it is "partial 16S ribosomal RNA". It matches the Rfam family "Bacterial small subunit ribosomal RNA", at positions 28 to 507 of the family's 1533-position model. The record is from RNAcentral.
GAUGAACGCUGGCGGCGUGCCUAAUACAUGCAAGUCGAGCGAACAGAUGAGGAGCUUGCUCCUCUGACGUUAGCGGCGGACGGGUGAGUAACACGUGGAUAACCUACCUAUAAGACUGGGAUAACUUCGGGAAACCGGAGCUAAUACCGGAUAAUAUAUUGAACCGCAUGGUUCAAUAGUGAAAGACGGUUUUGCUGUCACUUGUAGAUGGAUCCGCGCCGCAUUAGCUAGUUGGUAAGGUAACGGCUUACCAAGGCAACGAUGCGUAGCCGACCUGAGAGGGUGAUCGGCCACACUGGAACUGAGACACGGUCCAGACUCCUACGGGAGGCAGCAGUAGGGAAUCUUCCGCAAUGGGCGAAAGCCUGACGGAGCAACGCCGCGUGAGUGAUGAAGGUCUUCGGAUCGUAAAACUCUGUUAUUAGGGAAGAACAAAUGUGUAAGUAACUAUGCACGUCUUGACGGUACCUAAUCAGAAAGCCACGGCUAACUUCGUG